Molecule: ribosomal RNA, 1520 nt
Filed under: Escherichia coli
Lineage: Bacteria; Pseudomonadati; Pseudomonadota; Gammaproteobacteria; Enterobacterales; Enterobacteriaceae
Description: partial 23S ribosomal RNA
Rfam family: Bacterial large subunit ribosomal RNA
Source: RNAcentral
CUAUGUGUUGUUGGGUAGGGGAGCGUUCUGUAAGCCUGUGAAGGUGUACUGUGAGGUAUGCUGGAGGUAUCAGAAGUGCGAAUGCUGACAUAAGUAACGAUAAAGCGGGUGAAAAGCCCGCUCGCCGGAAGACCAAGGGUUCCUGUCCAACGUUAAUCGGGGCAGGGUGAGUCGACCCCUAAGGCGAGGCCGAAAGGCGUAGUCGAUGGGAAACAGGUUAAUAUUCCUGUACUUGGUGUUACUGCGAAGGGGGGACGGAGAAGGCUAUGUUGGCCGGGCGACGGUUGUCCCGGUUUAAGCGUGUAGGCUGAUUUUCCAGGUAAAUCCGGAAAAUCAAGGCUGAGGCGUGAUGACGAGGCACUACGGUGCUGAAGCAACAAAUGCCCUGCUUCCAGGAAAAGCCUCUAAGCAUCAGGUAACAUCAAAUCGUACCCCAAACCGACACAGGUGGUCAGGUAGAGAAUACCAAGGCGCUUGAGAGAACUCGGGUGAAGGAACUAGGCAAAAUGGUGCCGUAACUUCGGGAGAAGGCACGCUGAUACGUAGGUGAAGUCCCUCGCGGAUGGAGCUGAAAUCAGUCGAAGAUACCAGCUGGCUGCAACUGUUUAUUAAAAACACAGCACUGUGCAAACACGAAAGUGGACGUAUACGGUGUGACGCCUGCCCGGUGCCGGAAGGUUAAUUGAUGGGGUUAGCGGUAACGCGAAGCUCUUGAUCGAAGCCCCGGUAAACGGCGGCCGUAACUAUAACGGUCCUAAGGUAGCGAAAUUCCUUGUCGGGUAAGUUCCGACCUGCACGAAUGGCGUAAUGAUGGCCAGGCUGUCUCCACCCGAGACUCAGUGAAAUUGAACUCGCUGUGAAGAUGCAGUGUACCCGCGGCAAGACGGAAAGACCCCGUGAACCUUUACUAUAGCUUGACACUGAACAUUGAGCCUUGAUGUGUAGGAUAGGUGGGAGGCUUUGAAGUGUGGACGCCAGUCUGCAUGGAGCCGACCUUGAAAUACCACCCUUUAAUGUUUGAUGUUCUAACGUUGGCCCCUAAUCGGGGUUGCGGACAGUGUCUGGUGGGUAGUUUGACUGGGGCGGUCUCCUCCUAAAGAGUAACGGAGGAGCACGAAGGUUGGCUAAUCCUGGUCGGACAUCAGGAGGUUAGUGCAAUGGCAUAAGCCAGCUUGACUGCGAGCGUGACGGCGCGAGCAGGUGCGAAAGCAGGUCAUAGUGAUCCGGUGGUUCUGAAUGGAAGGGCCAUCGCUCAACGGAUAAAAGGUACUCCGGGGAUAACAGGCUGAUACCGCCCAAGAGUUCAUAUCGACGGCGGUGUUUGGCACCUCGAUGUCGGCUCAUCACAUCCUGGGGCUGAAGUAGGUCCCAAGGGUAUGGCUGUUCGCCAUUUAAAGUGGUACGCGAGCUGGGUUUAGAACGUCGUGAGACAGUUCGGUCCCUAUCUGCCGUGGGCGCUGGAGAACUGAGGGGGGCUGCUCCUAGUACGAGAGGACCGGAGUGGACGCAUCACUGGUGUU